Molecule: ribosomal RNA, 468 nt
Filed under: uncultured bacterium
Lineage: Bacteria
Description: partial 16S ribosomal RNA
Rfam family: Bacterial small subunit ribosomal RNA
Source: RNAcentral
GACGAACGCUGGCGGCGUGCUUAACACAUGCAAGUCGAACGGAAAGGCCCUGCUUUUGUGGGGUGCUCGAGUGGCGAACGGGUGAGUAACACGUGAGUAACCUGCCCUUGACUUUGGGAUAACUUCAGGAAACUGGGGCUAAUACCGGAUAGGAGCUCCUGCUGCAUGGUGGGGGUUGGAAAGUUUCGGCGGUUGGGGAUGGACUCGCGGCUUAUCAGCUUGUUGGUGGGGUAGUGGCUUACCAAGGCUUUGACGGGUAGCCGGCCUGAGAGGGUGACCGGCCACAUUGGGACUGAGAUACGGCGCAGACGCCUACGGGAGGCAGCAGUGGGGAAUAUUGCACAAUGGGCGGAAGCCUGAUGCGGCAACGCCGCGUGCGGGAUGACGGCCUUCGGGUUGUAAACCGCUUUCGCCUGUGACGAAGCGUGAGUGACGGUAAUGGGUAAAGAAGCAACGGCUAACUACGUG